UCCGUAGGCGGGUAAUUAAGUCAGAGGUGAAAUCCCACAGCUCAACUGUGGAACUGCCUUAGAUACUGGUUAUCUUGAGUUUUAGUGAAGUAGAUAGAAUGUGUAGUGUAGCGGUGAAAUGCAUAGAUAUUACACAGAAUACCGAUUGCGAAGGCAGCCUACUAACUAACAACUGACGCUAAUGGACGAAAGCGUGGGGAGCGAACAGGAUUAGAUACCCUGGUAGUCC
RNAcentral lists this ribosomal RNA (229 nucleotides) under uncultured bacterium. RNAcentral describes it as "partial 16S ribosomal RNA". It matches the Rfam family "Bacterial small subunit ribosomal RNA", at positions 568 to 796 of the family's 1533-position model. The record is from RNAcentral.